GCCUAUGGCGUACCACCAUGAGAGCGCCCGGUCUCACCUGAUCUCGGAAGCUAAGCAGGGUCGGGCCCAGUUAGUACUUGGAUGGGAGACCGCCAGGGAAUACCAGGUGCUGUAGGCU
Molecule: ribosomal RNA, 118 nt
Filed under: Chloebia gouldiae (Gouldian finch)
Lineage: Eukaryota; Metazoa; Chordata; Aves; Passeriformes; Passeridae
Source: RNAcentral